Molecule: long non-coding RNA, 840 nt
Organism: Thalassophryne amazonica
Lineage: Eukaryota; Metazoa; Chordata; Actinopteri; Batrachoidiformes; Batrachoididae
Exons: 2
Source: RefSeq, a predicted model, not a curated record
GUGAACGACUUUAUUAGAUUUUUCUCCAAACAAGAUGUGCUAAGUCGAUGGCACGCAGGUCCAUUCACAAGCGCUACAAACUCAUCCAAUGGUGUAAUUCAACCUGAUCUACACUCCAUGAAGAUUAAAGAGACAAAAUAAUGCCUGAACUGCAAAACAAGAUCGCAAUCAGUGCACAGAACGUAACCAACAUGGCAACCUUCCCCACUUUCAACUUUCCACACAGGUGUCUGCAGUAAAUGUGCUGUAUGUCCCCCACCCCCCACCUAAAUUUAAGUCACUCAACCAGUGAUGUUUAAGGGAACAAUUAUUCAGACACCAGUGACAUUUAAAGAGCUCCAAUUCAUCCAUAAAACUCAUUAGAACCAGUCUGACCGACCUAACAUUUCCUUCUAAAGACAAUUUAAUAAAACGUGUCAAAUUCAGGAUCUUUUUGAACCCUUACAUUUCAAACCUUCCAGAGUCCUGACAACAAUCUUCAAAACUGCAGCAUGUAUGAUGUGAAUUAUUAAAGCAGUGCUAAAGUUACUGAACACUAACUGAAAGCACAGAAAAUCUGAAAAUUUCAAACAGCAGCACUGUCAUUUAACUUGCGUAUCAAAGUGGAGGUAAGUUCUACACAGACCGGAGAGCUGCAUGCACACUGAAAGGAUUCCAACUACUUUGCUGCACAGUAAGAAUAAAGGGCAUGGGUUUGUGACUAGGCCGUCUCCUCUUCAGCCUCCUCCUCAAACUCGCCGUCCUCCUCAGCAGUAGCUUCUUGGUACUGUUGGUACUCCGACACCAGGUCAUUCAUGUUACUCUCAGCCUCGGUGAACUCCAUCUCGUCCAUACCCUCCC